Molecule: ribosomal RNA, 570 nt
Filed under: cf. Trichoderma sp. 653/HC1
Lineage: Eukaryota; Fungi; Ascomycota; Sordariomycetes; Hypocreales; Hypocreaceae
Description: SSU rRNA
Rfam family: Eukaryotic small subunit ribosomal RNA
Source: RNAcentral
CUACUACAUVCAAGGAAGGCAKCADGCGCACAAAUUACCCAAUCCCGACACRGGGAGGUAGUGACAAUAAAUACUGAUACASGSCUCUUUUSGGUCUUGUAAUCGGAAUGAGUACAAUUUAAAUCCCUUAACSAGGAACAAUUGGAGGGCAAGUCUGGUGCCAACAGCCGCGGUAAUUCCAGCUCCAAUAGCGUAUAUUAAAGUUGUUGUGGYUAAAAAGCUCGUAGUUGAACCUUGGGCCUGGCUGGCCGGUCCGCCUCACCGCGUGCACUGGUCCGGCCGGGCCUUUCCCUCUGCGGAACCCCAUGCCCUUCACUGGGUGUGGCGGGGAAACAGGACUUUUACUUUGAAAAAAUUAGAGUGCUCAAGGCAGGCCUAUGCUCGAAUACAUUAGCAUGGAAUAAUAGAAUAGGACGUGUGGUUCUAUUUUGUUGGUUUCUAGGACCGCCGUAAUGAUUAAUAGGGACAGUCGGGGGCAUCAGUAUUCAAUUGUCAGAGGUGAAAUUCUUGGAUUUAUUGAAGACUAACUACUGCGAAAGCAUUUGCCAAGGAUGUUUUCAUUAAUCAGGA